This 512-nucleotide ribosomal RNA is filed under the name Tetraponera rufonigra. Its description in RNAcentral is "eukaryotic LSU rRNA". The record is from RNAcentral. Lineage: Eukaryota; Metazoa; Arthropoda; Insecta; Hymenoptera; Formicidae.
AAACCGUUCAGGGGUAAACCUAAGAAACCCAAAAGAUCGAACGGGGGAGAUUCAUCGUCAGCGGAGCUGGCUUCGCGUCGGUGGGCGAUGACCCCGCGGUGUCCUCCGUGGCACGCGCGCGGGCACGCUACCGUGCGCCGAUGUCCGGUUCUCGUCGUCGUGCACUUCUCCCCUAGUAGAACGUCGCGACCCGCUGGGUGUCGGUCCACGGCCCGGGUGCGGUGACUGUCGCGUCGCCCGUAAAAACGGCGCGCGGCAAACCCUCGGUCGCCCGGCCGGCUGCCCGGCGGCACACGCACGGUAUCAGGCCGCACCAACGGUGCGUCGAGAAGUAGUCGGGCGCGCGUCAGAAUCCCGGAGGUACGGACUCGGCGCCGUCCCCGGUCCUGGCGCGUUCGCGCCGCACGUGUCUAUAAAAGGGUAGACCUUCGACUGGCCUUGCUUCCUCGCGUGUUGCUCGACAACACGCGACAUACCGGUCGGCGACGCUACUGCUUUGGGUACUCUUAGGA